UACGGAGGGUGCAAGCGUUAUCCGGAUUCACUGGGUUUAAGGGAUGCGUAGGCGGGUUGGUAAGUCAGUGGUGAAAUCUUCAAGCUUAACUUGGAAACUGCCGUUGAUACUAUCAAUCUUGAAUAUUGUGGAGAUAAGCGGAAUAUGUCAUGUAGCGGUGAAAUGCUUAGAUACGACAUAGAACACCGAUAGCGAAGGCAGCUUGCUACACAGUUAUUGACGCUGAGGCACGAAGGCGUGAGGAUCAAACAGG
This 253-nucleotide ribosomal RNA is filed under the name uncultured bacterium. RNAcentral's name for it is "partial 16S ribosomal RNA". It matches the Rfam family "Bacterial small subunit ribosomal RNA", at positions 524 to 776 of the family's 1533-position model. The record is from RNAcentral.